AUGGAGUGUGAGCUCGAGAGGAAGAGGAAGAAAACAGAGGAGAGGGAAAAGGGAAAAAACAGAGCGCUCGGGCUCGACGAAGGGGUUUAUAUAGGAUGA
RNAcentral lists this ribosomal RNA (99 nucleotides) under Triticum aestivum (bread wheat). Its description in RNAcentral is "partial small subunit ribosomal RNA". Lineage: Eukaryota; Viridiplantae; Streptophyta; Magnoliopsida; Poales; Poaceae. The record is from RNAcentral.